Caenorhabditis elegans is the source of this 90-nucleotide non-coding RNA. The record is from Ensembl. NCBI's taxonomy places the organism in Eukaryota, Metazoa, Nematoda, Chromadorea, Rhabditida, Rhabditidae.
AAAAAGUGUCCAAAUGGCGCAGUGGGAUUUUCCACCAAAUUCCUUGCAAUCACAAGACCGGGGUUCGAGUCCACGCUAGAGUCAAUAAUU